This 492-nucleotide ribosomal RNA is filed under the name uncultured bacterium. RNAcentral describes it as "partial 16S ribosomal RNA". It matches the Rfam family "Bacterial small subunit ribosomal RNA", at positions 29 to 507 of the family's 1533-position model. The record is from RNAcentral.
AGUGAACGCUGGCGGUAGGCCUAACACAUGCAAGUCGAACGGCAGCACAGUAAGAGCUUGCUCUUACGGGUGGCGAGUGGCGGACGGGUGAGGAAUACAUCGGAAUCUACCUUUUCGUGGGGGAUAACGUAGGGAAACUUACGCUAAUACCGCAUACGACCUACGGGUGAAAGCAGGGGAUCUUCGGACCUUGCGCGAUUGAAUGAGCCGAUGUCGGAUUAGCUAGUUGGCGGGGUAAAGGCCCACCAAGGCGACGAUCCGUAGCUGGUCUGAGAGGAUGAUCAGCCACACUGGAACUGAGACACGGUCCAGACCCCUACGGGAGGCAGCAGUGGGGAAUAUUGGACAAUGGGCGCAAGCCUGAUCCAGCCAUACCGCGUGGGUGAAGAAGGCCUUCGGGUUGUAAAGCCCUUUUGUUGGGAAUGAAAAGCAGCAGGUUAAUACCCCGCUGUUCUGACGGUACCCAAAGAAUAAGCACCGGCUAACUUCGUG